Molecule: ribosomal RNA, 505 nt
Filed under: uncultured bacterium
Lineage: Bacteria
Description: partial 16S ribosomal RNA
Rfam family: Bacterial small subunit ribosomal RNA
Source: RNAcentral
AUUGAACGCUGGCGGCAGGCCUAACACAUGCAAGUCGAACGGUAACAGGAAACAGCUUGCUGUUUCGCUGACGAGUGGCGGACGGGUGAGUAAUGUCUGGGAAACUGCCUGAUGGAGGGGGAUAACUACUGGAAACGGUAGCUAAUACCGCAUAACGUCGCAAGACCAAGAGGGGGACCUUCGGGCCUCUUGCCAUCGGAUGUGCCCAGAUGGGAUUAGCUAGGAGGUGGGGUAACGGCUCACCUAGGCGACGAUCCCUAGCUGGUCUGAGAGGAUGACCAGCCACACUGGAACUGAGACACGGUCCAGACUCCUACGGGAGGCAGCAGUGGGGAAUAUUGCACAAUGGGCGCAAGCCUGAUGCAGCCAUGCCGCGUGUAUGAAGAAGGCCUUCGGGUUGUAAAGUACUUUCAGCGGGGAGGAAGGGGGUAAAGUCAAUACCUUUGCUCAUUGACGUUACCCGCAGAAGAAGCACCGGCUAACUCCGUGCCAGCAGCCGCCGUAA